RNAcentral lists this ribosomal RNA (1632 nucleotides) under Staphylococcus aureus. Its description in RNAcentral is "partial 23S ribosomal RNA". It matches the Rfam family "Bacterial large subunit ribosomal RNA", at positions 605 to 2238 of the family's 2925-position model. The record is from RNAcentral. Lineage: Bacteria; Bacillati; Bacillota; Bacilli; Caryophanales; Staphylococcaceae.
CUUUUGUAGAAUGAACCGGCGAGUUACGAUUUGAUGCAAGGUUAAGCAGUAAAUGUGGAGCCGUAGCGAAAGCGAGUCUGAAUAGGGCGUUUAGUAUUUGGUCGUAGACCCGAAACCAGGUGAUCUACCCUUGGUCAGGUUGAAGUUCAGGUAACACUGAAUGGAGGACCGAACCGACUUACGUUGAAAAGUGAGCGGAUGAACUGAGGGUAGCGGAGAAAUUCCAAUCGAACCUGGAGAUAGCUGGUUCUCUCCGAAAUAGCUUUAGGGCUAGCCUCAAGUGAUGAUUAUUGGAGGUAGAGCACUGUUUGGACGAGGGGCCCCUCUCGGGUUACCGAAUUCAGACAAACUCCGAAUGCCAAUUAAUUUAACUUGGGAGUCAGAACAUGGGUGAUAAGGUCCGUGUUCGAAAGGGAAACAGCCCAGACCACCAGCUAAGGUCCCAAAAUAUAUGUUAAGUGGAAAAGGAUGUGGCGUUGCCCAGACAACUAGGAUGUUGGCUUAGAAGCAGCCAUCAUUUAAAGAGUGCGUAAUAGCUCACUAGUCGAGUGACACUGCGCCGAAAAUGUACCGGGGCUAAACAUAUUACCGAAGCUGUGGAUUGUCCUUUGGACAAUGGUAGGAGAGCGUUCUAAGGGCGUUGAAGCAUGAUCGUAAGGACAUGUGGAGCGCUUAGAAGUGAGAAUGCCGGUGUGAGUAGCGAAAGACGGGUGAGAAUCCCGUCCACCGAUUGACUAAGGUUUCCAGAGGAAGGCUCGUCCGCUCUGGGUUAGUCGGGUCCUAAGCUGAGGCCGACAGGCGUAGGCGAUGGAUAACAGGUUGAUAUUCCUGUACCACCUAUAAUCGUUUUAAUCGAUGGGGGGACGCAGUAGGAUAGGCGAAGCGUGCGAUUGGAUUGCACGUCUAAGCAGUAAGGCUGAGUAUUAGGCAAAUCCGGUACUCGUUAAGGCUGAGCUGUGAUGGGGAGAAGACAUUGUGUCUUCGAGUCGUUGAUUUCACACUGCCGAGAAAAGCCUCUAGAUAGAAAAUAGGUGCCCGUACCGCAAACCGACACAGGUAGUCAAGAUGAGAAUUCUAAGGUGAGCGAGCGAACUCUCGUUAAGGAACUCGGCAAAAUGACCCCGUAACUUCGGGAGAAGGGGUGCUCUUUAGGGUUAACGCCCAGAAGAGCCGCAGUGAAUAGGCCCAAGCGACUGUUUAUCAAAAACACAGGUCUCUGCUAAACCGUAAGGUGAUGUAUAGGGGCUGACGCCUGCCCGGUGCUGGAAGGUUAAGAGGAGUGGUUAGCUUCUGCGAAGCUACGAAUCGAAGCCCCAGUAAACGGCGGCCGUAACUAUAACGGUCCUAAGGUAGCGAAAUUCCUUGUCGGGUAAGUUCCGACCCGCACGAAAGGCGUAACGAUUUGGGCACUGUCUCAACGAGAGACUCGGUGAAAUCAUAGUACCUGUGAAGAUGCAGGUUACCCGCGACAGGACGGAAAGACCCCGUGGAGCUUUACUGUAGCCUGAUAUUGAAAUUCGGCACAGCUUGUACAGGAUAGGUAGGAGCCUUUGAAACGUGAGCGCUAGCUUACGUGGAGGCGCUGGUGGGAUACUACCCUAGCUGUGUUGGCUUUCUAACCCGCACCACUUA